Molecule: long non-coding RNA, 2711 nt
Filed under: Olea europaea subsp. europaea
Lineage: Eukaryota; Viridiplantae; Streptophyta; Magnoliopsida; Lamiales; Oleaceae
Source: RNAcentral
CUCCAUGACCAAGCCAGUAGUUUAUACUAUACCAAUUCAGCUAGUACAAGUUAUGCUAAACUCCGUACCAAGUCAGACCCGCUGUUCCAAUCUCACGAUCUACUGUCGUAAAUACUGCUAGUCUCCUGCUAGCUUCCCGAUCUAUCUCCUGCAGCCCAAUCUGCUAUCCAAUACAGUCUCUUGGUCUUUAGCUGAUUGUAUCACCAAGUGGAAUUCCAAGAACCUCCUAUUCUUGUCCAGUUCUUGCGCUUGUCGUCCCCCUCUCUCAAUCCCUCAAUGAGAGAGUCCGUUCCUCAAAGGAUCAAGGAACCACGGUGUUUUGUCUUCGAGAACCUUGAUGCUUUUCCCAAAAAUAGGUUGUCGGGUCUCAAGAAUUAUAUGAUUGAUUUCAUCAAUGAAUACUAUUCUUGGAUCUAUAAUUGACGAAAUGUGAUCAAGUCCAAUUAUGCUCCUUCGUUCCUGUCUUUGUCUUCUGCCUUUUUCUUAACACAUGUAGCUUGUAUUUUCCCUUAAAUUUUAGCCACAGUAUGCGUGCACGUAUAUAUCUUGCAACCGCCCGAUGAGUGUCCAAAGCUGAUACUUGUAAUGUUAAUUCUAAAUCCAAUUCCAAACAAAAUCAGCCCCUAAUUUACUCGUCUUCUCUGGGCCUUUUUAUAUAUAAAUAUACACUAACCAGCCUCCAAUGUUGACUCCCAGCUACACGUCUAAUUCUUCAAUUCAGUCCCCAGAUUGGCUUUGAUUUUCUGUGAAUAUUUAUAUCCAAUUCAGCCACCAAAUGUUUUCCAAAGCUGCCGUGUCUGUCAAUACAUAUUAAAUCUAGCCACAAUAUUUGACUACGAAAAUGGGACUGGAACUCUCUUCUUGUCUCCUUUGUCUUUGCACGCAUGUAGGUCUAUAUAAUUAAAUUAGCAACCUACACUAUUUAAUUCCUCCAGCAGCAUCCCUUUUUUACUCUUCCCAUCCACUUCAAAUUCUGUGGUUUUAUGUAUAUAUAUCAACAGUAGUCGGCGCCCCUUUUUCUGCCUCAAUUUCAAUGUACAAGUAUUAAACAAUUUCAGCACUCACCACUUUGUUAAUUCCACUAGUAGCUUCAACUUUCGUUCCAAUUUUAGCAGCUGACCAGCCUUUUAUUACUUCCAACAACUUCUAUAAUUCUGUCUCCCACAGAUGCCAUUUUCUGUUGGUAAGUGUAUAUCAAUAUGGCAGCCGACAGCCCUUUUUAAUUCCUUCCGGAAGGCACCUUCAAGUUCUGUGUGUUUAUUUCUUUUGCAGUCGGCCAGCAUCUUUCUUCAAUGCAUAUGCGUAUAUAUAGAUAGAUAUGUAGACUUCGACUUAUGGGCUUCUAAUUUUACAAGCUCAAAUCCUAGCCCAACUAAACUAUACAAUAUUGCACUUCACGCCUUGACUUUUAGACAUGUUCAAUUAAGUCUCUUUUUGUUCAUAGAAUGGCAAUUACAAUUUUAAACCUAACAAUCUCCCCCUUUGGCAUUCUAUAACAAAACUAUACAAAUUCAAGUGAAGGGAUUACAAUCAAUCAAAACAACCUAAACUACCCAGCAUUCGAAUCACCGAGUCUUGCAUUCCUUGUUGUACAUGUUUCCUGGAAUCCAAAAACUCACAUGCCCAGUGUAAAAGCACGUGAUAUAGGAAAUAUAGAAAUUAAAGCACUUAAUCACAGAUUAACAUGCUAGUUUGAGACAUAAUAUUAAUGUCAAUCAAAACACCAUCCGAAACAUUAACAUCAAAACUCAAACAACUAUGGAUGUGAUAUGGAAUGCAAUGCAAUGCUCCCCCUUACUGCAAACUUUCAUAUUUUUAUGCAGUAGGUAAAUGUAUCUGUCUCUUCCCAACGAUCCCUAGAUAUAGCAAUGCAGUGCAAGUAAUGUCAAUUAACAAAAUGUGCAUGCAUUUGCUGUCGCUCUCUUAUGUGCAUGCUCUCAUUUUCCAUUUUCUCCCCCUUGUAUGUACAUUUUCUCUCCCCCUUUUUGUCACAAAUAUUGAAGGGAAUCACAUUAAGACCAAGUCGAGCAAUAACAUAUAACUAUCAAAAAUGCAGUUGAUAGCAUGUAAAAGCAAAAUUAACAAGUUGUAUACCUCUCCACAUACUUAGUUCAGUCUAAAAUGGAGUAAUAAAAGUAUAAGUGACUCAUGUGUGUAAAGUGUCACUAAUCAAAUACAAGUAAGACUCCAAACCUUAAUUUUGUGAGAAGGAACAUGCCAAUCACUGCUAGUAAGUAUAUUCUCCUACUAAUGAAAGCUAAACUAUGUAACGUGUAGUAGGUACUAUACUUACAAUUUUUAUUUAUCUCCCCCUUACUAUAAGCUUAUUUUUCAAACUUUUCAAAUUAUUCCAACUCAUAAUAUUUUUCAUGUUUCUCAUUUUUUUUCAGCUCAUUAAUUUUUCAUCUUAAGUGCAGGUUCUUCUCCAUUAGGUGAUUGAAAUGACCCUUGUAGCAAGCUUUAGGCCGAUUAACCCAAGUCAAUUGACCAUAGGCACCAUGUUUUAAGAGACUCUGCAGGCUUAAUUACUCAAGUCAAAUAGGCCCCGAAAAAAACAUUAAGAUAUGAGCUUUUAUAUAGUGGGGAGAGAUUUUUGGGUUAAGGUCUACAAAAAAGGUAAAUUCAUGUUCAAAGUCACUCCAUCAACAUGUGAAAACUAUCCCAAAUCUCACACACGCAGUAGAGUCCUUCUAACAAAUUCAUAGUGUGUG